Molecule: long non-coding RNA, 1576 nt
Filed under: Citrus x clementina
Lineage: Eukaryota; Viridiplantae; Streptophyta; Magnoliopsida; Sapindales; Rutaceae
Description: Citrus clementina (C. clementina) long non-coding RNA (CCLE_LNC000595)
Source: RNAcentral
UUGAAAUAUACUUAUCAAUGCAAAAAAAAAAAAAAAGUUGUUAUUAAAUUUAUACUCAUUUUUUCUUCGCUCUGUCUUUCUUGGACUUUAUUCUGCUCUUCUCCAUUAAUUCCUUAGUGACUUUUGGCAUAACACCGCCCUUGCAGGCUUUCAUGACUUGACCAUUCAUCCUGUUUCUUUAUUAUUAUUAUUAUUAUUAUUAUUAUUAUCCUUUAUUUGAAAAAAAAAAAAUUGAGCGAUCAAGAAUCAUCCAUCACUGGUAUCAAAUAGCUAUAUCCUUCUUGUUAGAUUUUUGUUUUUUGUUUUGACAAAUUAGAUUUUUGUAUUUUGGUUAGACCUAACGGUGCUACCAAGGUAUGACGAUUACUAAUAUUUGAGUUUUUGAGCUUUGUCAAUGGCUUUAUGUGACAAAAGUAGUGCUUUUUUUUUUCUUUCAUAUAUUAGUAUAUUACAAUUAGAGAACUAUUGAUAUUUAUAAACAGAAAUCAAUUAAAACUCUCUUUAAUAAUUUUAUUAUGAAACAUUCCAAAAUUUUUGACGAGGAGAUAAAUAGAUCCCUAUUUAAUUUUAUCAAGACAAAAAUCAAAUUUCAACUAUUGUUGAGACUCAUACUCUUAAGUGCAUAAAUUAUCUAUGAACUUCGAGUUCAUCGGCAAAAAAUAGUACUCUUUUAAUUAUAAUUGGACCAGUGCUGCAUUACAAUUAGCGUAAUGUACGCCCACAUACAACAAUAAUGGUGGAUCCCAUCAACAAAUAUUGAUGUUGUGUGUAAGUGUACGUUACGUUAAUAAUAACGCAGGGGCUCCUUAUAAUUGAGGCUUUUUCUGUUUUUGCUUUUCUUCAAAACUACCUCCUAGUCUUCUUGAUGUGAGAGAGCGUGGAUUAUGAUAACACAAUAUUCAAUGAACCAAGUUCUGCAAGCUAAGUAAAGUGUUAUGUUGCGAUGAAGCCGCUCAUCAUAACGGCGAGCGAAGCCAAUCCAUCCACUAGAUUUUUGGUUCUUACUAUUGAAUGCGAAUGUGGAGAAGUCGAACAAGAAAGGCAUGUCCCCUGUGUUUUCGGCUAAUACUGUCGAAAUCUUUCCCCCCCACCCCCCAAAAUGGUCAAAUUUGUCUUGCUGCUUGCUGGCAGUGUGCUUAUUAACAGUAAAGAACAAUUUUUUAUCCAAACGUCCAAUUUUGGUCCCACCAUUGAGUAAUCCAAAAUUGUCCCUUCAGUCCCCCAUAAGAGAUGUUUCCAGAUUCUUAUACGAGCCUCCAAACCAACCAUAAGGAAAACGGCCUUUUUUUAAUUUGCUUUUAUCAUUUUGCGGGAAAAGUCAUUUUCAACAAAUUAAUGCCCAGAAGAAUGAAGAAAUUGUCUCGCAUUUGAAACAUAAAUACAAAACGGUUGCUUGGGUUUCUCCUGAAUCGGAUUUCGUUUAUCCAGCGUACUGUCUUUUUGUGGAUCAUACUCGCGGAGAGAUCCCGUGGUUCAUAAAAUUAUCCUUAAUUAUCUGCUGAAAUUUAAUUUCCUAUACGCAAAAGUUAGAUGUAUGUGGCGUUUGUGUUUUUUUUUUUAAUUUAAAAUUUGAAUA